UCUGAGGGAAGGUGAGUGUUGCCAGCCAGGUCAUGCCUUAUCCGAAGCGAAGUGAAGACGCUCAGGUGUUUCCCUGUGAAGUUCCGAAGUGAGACUGUUUGGGAUAGAGGAGCAGAGUGGCAGGGGGUUGCUUGCAAGCACAGUGGUCGUUUUGUCCUUUUGUGUUCCCAGGUGUUGUGGAUGAUGGUGGCCGCUCCUUUCAAGCUUGGACCUAAUUUGCAGGUCCAGAGGCAAGUGGAGUGCUGUUUUGAAAGGGUUGAAAUGCAGCGUGCAGUGCGCGGUGCAGGACGUCUCGACCCGAGCUGCCUCUGCAGUGACUCUGGUGCGUGAUGAGCAGAGAGGUGCUAUAAGUGGGUAAGGAGAAGAGAUGGAAGCAUGUGCCACGUGGGGCAGGCAAGCGGCUGAGGUACAGGAGGGGAUGAGAGUAUGUGAUUUUUUUCUGGGGAUGGAAUGGAAUUGAUUUUGUUGGUGUAUAAUCUGUUCUGCUCCUGGAUUUUUCUUUCUAAGUUUAAAAAUAAGAAUAAAAUUUGAGCUAAUUCCAGUUAAGAAAGUUCCAGUUACUUGCUGGGUCGUAUUGUCCUUUUAAUAUUCAAAGCUGCCGCAAAAGCAUGGGGAUUGUUGCUUUUAGAAACACCUCAGGUCUCGUCUGCACUCUGCAUUCUGUUGAGCUAAAGCAGAUCCCCCCCAAAAAAAACAAACAGGCAAACAAAAAAAAAACCAAACACACACACACAAAUGAACAACGAAAUAAAACACCAUUGGUUGACUUGUUGUGAAUGCAACGAACAUUUAAUCCCUUUGUUUUCCCAGGUGGUGUGGAUGAUACUGGCUGCACUAUUGGAGCUUGGUCUCGGAGAGGAACAGGCGAGCACAAUCCUGAUGCUGAGCCUUCAAUUGACUAAGAUGACAAUCAGUGCCUGUGCCUUUCCUGAGGCGGAGGGACUUUACCAUGCAGCAACCUUAGAGCUAAGUUGGGGGGCACCUGGUAUUUGCAUAUUUGGAGUGGCUAAUGGGAGCUGCGAGCCAGAGCAGCAUGGAGCCAGCUGGCUGAAUAGACUUGGUGCCACUGUGAGGGUGGUUCAGGCUGGGUCGUCACGUUCAGGCUGGUUGUGGCUGGGUCACCAGGCUAACAGAAGCAGCGGGAUUAUUUUGUAGCGUGCGUGCGCCAGGCAGGACAGUUUCCUUCUGUUCGUCUGUCUUGUAGUGUUGCUUCUGCAGUGUCUGUUCUGUGCUUCUCGG
RNAcentral lists this long non-coding RNA (1239 nucleotides) under Anas platyrhynchos platyrhynchos (common mallard). RNAcentral's name for it is "lncRNA (ENSAPLG00000020075.1)". The record is from RNAcentral. Lineage: Eukaryota; Metazoa; Chordata; Aves; Anseriformes; Anatidae.